UGGUUCUGGCAUCGAUGAAGAACGCAGCGAAAUGCGAUAAGUAAUAUGAAUUGCAGAAUUCAGUGAAUCAUCGAAUCUUUGAACGCACAUUGCGCCCAUUAGUAUUCUAGUGGGCAUGCCUGUUCGAGCGUCAUUUCUACCUUCAAGCGCUUUCGCUUGGUGUUGGAGCAUAUCUGCCGUGCGGCAGAUAGCUCUCAAAGCUAGGGGCAGCCCUAUCGAUGCCUUCUAUGUAGUACACUAUCGCUCAUAUUAGGGGUCUAUAGCGGACUCGCCGGUAAACCACUCAGUUUGACCUCGGAUCAGGUAGGGAUACCCGCUGA
This 320-nucleotide unclassified non-coding RNA is filed under the name uncultured fungus. Its description in RNAcentral is "partial contains 5.8S ribosomal RNA and internal transcribed spacer 2". The stretch from base 1 to 133 matches the Rfam family "5.8S ribosomal RNA", at positions 22 to 154 of the family's 154-position model. The record is from RNAcentral. Lineage: Eukaryota; Fungi.